Cyanistes caeruleus (blue tit) is the source of this 1690-nucleotide long non-coding RNA. The record is from Ensembl. NCBI's taxonomy places the organism in Eukaryota, Metazoa, Chordata, Aves, Passeriformes, Paridae.
AUCGCGAUGGCCGAACCCCGCCUGGCUCCUCCCAGUUCCUCCCAGUGCUCCCAGUUUGCUCCCAGUUCCUCCCAGUGCUCCCAGUUACCCCCUCCCAGUUCCUCCCAGUGCUCCCAGUUACCCCCUCCCAGUUUGGGGGGGCUCAUCCCCCCCUCCCACUUCGUGCUGCGCUCCAGGCCGCUGGGGGCGUGGCUUGAUGGAGAAAAUGGGCGUGGCCACGACCUGGAGGCGGAGCUUAAAGCGCUGAGGGGGCGGUGCCAAGCGCUGGAGGCGGAGCUGAGAGCAGAAAAGGGGCGGAGCCAAGCGCUGGAGGCGGAGCUGAGAGCAGAAAAGGGGCGGAGCCAAGCGCUGGAGGCAGAGCUGAGAGCAGAAAAGGGGCGGAGCCAAGCGCUAGAGGCGGAGCUGAGAGCAGAAAAGGGGCGGAGCCAAGCGCUGGAGGCAGAGCUUAGAGCAGAAAAGGGGCGGAGCCAAACCCUGGAGGCAGAGCUUGAGGCAGAAAAGGGGCGGAGCCAAAUCCUGGAGGAGGAGCUGGAAGUGUGGAGGGGGCGGGGCCUGGGAGCUGAGGGGGCGGAGCCAAACCCGGAACAGGUGAGGCCUCCCCAGGAACUCCCAGGAACUCCCAGUAACCAGGUUUGGGGUCCCCCAGGUGAAUUUUGGGGUCCCCAGGUGAAUUUUGGGGUCCCCAGAUGAUUUUUGGGGUCUCCAGGUGCAGAUUUCGGGGCCCCCAGGUGAAUUUUGGGGUCCCCCAGGUUCAGUUUUGGGGCCCCCAGGUGAAUUUUGGGCCCCCCAGGUAAGUUUUGGGGCUCCCAGGUGAAUUUUGGGGCCCCCCAGGUUCAGUUUUGGGGUCCCAGGUUCAGUUUUGGGGCCCCCCAGGUGAAUUUUGGGGUCCCAGAUGCAGAUUUUGGGGUUCCCAGGUAAAUUUUGGGGUCCCAGGUGAAUUUUGGGGUCCCCAGGUGAAUUUUGGGGUCUCCAGGUGCAGAUUUUGGGGUCCCCAGGUGAAUUUUGGGGUCCCAGGUUCAGUUUUGGGGUCCCCAUGUGAAUUUUGGGCCCCCCCAGGUGAAUUUUGGGGCCCCCAGGUGAAUUUUGGGGUCCCAGGUGUGAUUUUGGGGCCCCCCAGGUGAAUUUUGGGGCCCCCCAGGUAAGUUUUGGGGUCCCAGAUGCAGAUUUUGGGGUUCCCAGCUUUCGUUUUGGGGUCCCAGGUGAGCUUUUGGUGUCCCCAGGUGAAUUUUGGGGUCCCCAGUCCCCAGGUGAAUUUUGGGGUCCCCAUUUCCAUUUUUGGGGUCCCCAGGUGAUUUUUGGUGUCCCAGGUACAAUUUUGGGAUCCCCAGGUGAUUUUUGGGGUCCCAGGUUCAGUUUUGAGGUCCCCAGGUAAAAUUUUGGGGCCCCCCAGGUUCAGUUUUGGGGUCCCAGGUGAAUUUUGGGGCCCCCCAGGUGAAUUUUGGGGUCCCCAGAUGAUUUUUGGGGUCCCAGAUGCAGAUUUUGGGGUCCCCAGGUGAAUUUUGGGGUCCCCAGGUGAAUUUUGGGGUCCCCAUUUCCAUUUUUGGGGUCCCCAGGUAAUUUUUGGUGUCCCAGGUACAAUUUUGGGGUCCCCAGUUGAAUUUUGGGGUCUCCAGGUGCAGAUUUUGGGGUCCCCCUGGUAAAUUUUGGGGCCCCCCAGGUUCAGUUUUGGGGCCCCCAGGUGAAUUUUGGG